CAGUCGCCACGGUAAUACGUAGGGUGCGAGCGUUAAUCGGAAUUACUGGGCGUAAAGCGUGCGCAGGCGGUUCGUUAAGACAGAUGUGAAAUCCCCGGGCUUAACCUGGGAACUGCAUUUGUGACUGGCGAGCUAGAGUAUGGCAGAGGGGGGUAGAAUUCCACGUGUAGCAGUGAAAUGCGUAGAGAUGUGGAGGAAUACCGAUGGCGAAGGCAGCCCCCUGGGCCAAUACUGACGCUCAUGCACGAAAGCGUGGGGAGCAAACAGGAUUAGAUACCCCUGUAGUCCCUGUCUCUUAUAC
This 301-nucleotide ribosomal RNA is filed under the name uncultured bacterium. RNAcentral describes it as "partial 16S ribosomal RNA". It matches the Rfam family "Bacterial small subunit ribosomal RNA", at positions 509 to 807 of the family's 1533-position model. The record is from RNAcentral.